UAGGGAAUCUUCCGCAAUGGACGCAAGUCUGACGGAGCAACGCCGCGUGAGUGACGAAGGAUUUCGGUUCGUAAAACUCUGUUGUUAGAGAAGAACAGCGCAUAGAGUAACUGUUAUGCGUGUGACGGUAUCUAACCAGUAAGCCACGGCUAACUACGUGCCAGCAGCCGCGGUAAUACGUAGGUGGCAAGCGUUGUCCGGAUUUAUUGGGCGUAAAGCGAGCGCAGGCGGUCAAUUAAGUCUGAUGUGAAAGCCCCCGGCUCAACCGGGGAGGGUAAUUGGGAACUGGUUGAAUUGAGUGCAGAAGAGGAGAGUGGAAUUCCAUGUGUAGCGGUGAAAUGCGUAGAUAUAUGGAGGAACACCAGUGGCGAAGGCGACUAUCUGGUCAGUAACUGACGCUGAGGUUCGAAAGCGUGGGUAGCAAACAGG
This 429-nucleotide ribosomal RNA is filed under the name Bacteroidota bacterium. RNAcentral describes it as "Bacteroidetes bacterium partial 16S ribosomal RNA". It matches the Rfam family "Bacterial small subunit ribosomal RNA", at positions 355 to 776 of the family's 1533-position model. The record is from RNAcentral. Lineage: Bacteria; Pseudomonadati; Bacteroidota.